GAUAGCCAGAUAAAUAGAAUGAGAGAGAGAGGGAGGGAGAGAGACAGACAGACAGAUCAAUAGAAAGAUAGAUGGAUAAAUAGAUAGAUAGAUAGAUGGAUGGAUAGAUAGAUAGAGAGAGAGACGGGUAGAUAGAUAACCAGAUAAAUAGAAAAAUAGAUUGAUAGGUGCAUAGACAGAUAAGUAGAAAAAUAUUUCAAUGGAUAUUCUGACAGACAGAUCGACAAAUAAAUAGAAAGAUAGAUGGUAGACAUGGAAAGAUACAUAGAAAGAUAGUGGAUGGAAGAGAGCUAGAUAGACAGACAAACAGAUAAAAUGAUAGAUAAAUGGAUACACAGACAGACAGGCAGAAAGACAGAAAAACAAACAGAGAAAUAGGAAGGUAGAUGAUAGGUAGACAAACAGACAGAUAGACACAUAAAGGGAAAGAUAGAUGGAUGAAUGGAUAAACAGAUAGACAGGCAGACAGACAGACUGACCGGAGAUAAAUGGAAAGAUUGAUAGAUGUAUAGAUGGACCGACAGAUGGAUAGACAAAUAAAUAGCAAAAUAAGUACAUAGAUGGGUAGACAGCCAACUGGACAGCCAGAUAGACAGAUAAAUAGAAAGUUAGAUAGAUAGAUGGAUAGAUAGGCAAAAAUAGACAGAUAGAUAGAAAGGUAGAUAGGUGGAUAGACAGCCAGAUACAGACAGAUGGCGACUCACAGACAGAUAGACAAAUAGCAAGAUAGAUAAAUAUAAAGAUUAGAUGGAUGGGUAGAGAGAGAGAGACAGUGAGACAGACAAGACAGACAGAGAUACAGACAAUGAGACAGAUAGAUAAAUAGUCAAACAGAUAAAUACAAAGAUAGAUAGGUGCGUAGACAGAGAGACAAAUAGAUAAGUAAAGAAAUACACAAAGAUAGACAGACAGACAGAUAGAUAGACAGAUAGCUAAAUAGAGAUAAAUAGAAAGAUAGAUAGAAGGAUAAAGAGCCAGAUAGACAGACAGAUAGCUGUACAGACACACAGACGGAGAAAGAUAGAGAAAUAUAGAGACAGAUAGACAGAUGCAUAGGAAAAUAGCUAGCUAGCGAGAAGGAUAGACAUAUACACAGAAUAGAUAGAGAGAUGAAUAGAAAGAUAGAAGAAUAGGCAGAUAGACAUACAUAUAGACAGAUACAUGGAUGAAUAGAAAGAUAGAUAAAUGGAUGGACAGUGAGAUAGACAGACAGUUAGAUAGAAAGAUACAUAAAAGGACAGAUAAAUAGAUAGAAAAAUAGAUAAAUGGAUGGAUAGACAGCUAACCAGAAAGAUAAAUAGAUAGAUAGAUGGACAGAAAAACAGACACACACAUAGAUGGAUAGAUAAACAGAUAGAUAGAUGGAUAGACAGAUAAAUAGAAAGAUAGAUGGAUAGAGACACAGCCAGACAGAUAAAUACAAAGAUAGUUAGAUUAAAGACAGAUUGAUAAACAGAAAGAUAGAUAGAUAGAUGGAUAGAUAUGCAGUCAAAUAAGUAGAAAGAUAGUUACAUAGAAAGAUUGAUGGACAGAUAGACAGAUAAAUAGAGACUGGUGGAUGGAUACAUAAACUGAGAGAGAUAUAGACAGAUAAAUAGAAAGAUAGCUAGAGAGAUGGACAGAUAAAUAGAAAGAUAAAUGAAUAGACAGAUCAGAAGAUAAAUAGAAACAUAGAUCGAUAGACAUAUCCAUCUAUCUUUCUAUUUGUCUAUUUAUCUGUCUGUCCAUCUCUCUAGCCAUCUUUCUGUCUAAUCCACCUAUCUAUCCAUCUAUCUUUCCAUGUAUCUAUCUCUCUAUCUAUUUGACUAUCAAUGUCUUCUUAUCUGUCUACCCAUCUAUUUGUCUCUAUUUAUCUGUCUAUAGACCUAGCUAUCUAUCUUUCCAUCUAGCUAUCUUUUUAUUUAUCUGUCUCUAUCUGUGUAUCUAUCCGUCUUUCUAUUUAUCUAUCUAUCCAUCUUUCUAUGUAUGUAUGUAUAUAUUUAUGUAUGUAUCUGUCUGUCUAUCUAUCUAUCUAUAUCAAUUUGAUUGUAUAAGCAUCAAUCUUCUUAUCUGUCUAUCCAUGUAGCUAUCUAUCUUUCUGUUUAUCUAUCUGGCUGUCUAUAGAUCUAUCUGUCUUUCUAGUUUUCUGUCUAUCUAGCUGUAUGUCUACCUGUCUGUCUAUGCUUCUAUUUAUCUAUAUUUCUGUUUAUUAGUCUAUCUCUCUAUCUUUCUAUUUAUCUAUGUGUCUAUAUGUCUGUUUGUCUGUCUACCCAUCUACCUACCUUUUCUUUUAUCUGUCUUUCUGUCCAUCUAUCUAUCUUUCUAUUCAUCUUUCUAUCUAUGUCUGUCAGGCUUUCUAUUGCUAUAUCUCUCUAUUUUUCUACUCAACUGUCUCUCUUUCUGUCUGGCUGAGACAGACAGACAGACAGAAAGAUAGAUAGUAGAUAAAUAGAAAUAUAGAUAGAUGGAUAGACAGAUAAAUAGCAAGAUAUAUGGAUAGAUAGAUAGAUAAACAGAAAGAUGGAUAGAUAGAUAAAUAGAAAGAUAGGUAGAUGAAUAGACAGAAAGAUAAAUAGAAACAUAGAUCGAUUGAUAGACAGAUAAAUGGAUAGAUAGACAGAUAGGUGUAUAGACAGAUAGAUAAAUAGAAAGACAGAUAGAUGGAUAGACAAGGAUAAACAGGCAGAAAGAUGAAUAGGAAGAUAGAUAAAUGGGCAAACACACAACCAACCAGAGAGACAGAUAAGUAAAAAGACAGAGAGAUAGAGAAAUAGAAAGCCAGAUAGACAAAUAGAGAGAUGAAUAGAAAGAUUGAUAUAUGCACAGGCAGACAGAUAAAUGAUAGACAGAAAGACAAAUAGAUAAAUAGAAAGACAGAUAGAUGGAUAGAAGAUAGACAAACAGGCAGAAAGAUACAUAGAUAAAUAGAAAAAUAGAUAAAUGGAUAGAAACACAGCCAGUCAUUCAGCCAGGCGGGCAGUCAACAAGACAGGCAGAUAGAUAAAUAGAUGAUUCGAAAGAUGUCGGAUAAAUAGAAAUAUAGAUAUAUAGACAAAUAAAUAGAUGGAUAGACAGAAAUAUGGCUAGAUAGAUGGAUAGAUAUACAGAUAGAAAAAUAGAUGGAUAGACAGAUAGAAAGAUAAAUAGAUACAUAGAUUGGUACACAGAUAGAUGGUAGACAGACAGAUAGAUAAAUAGAUAAUAGGUGUAUAGACAGAUAAACAGAAAGACAGACAGACAAAUAGGCAGAAAGAUAGAGAGAGAAAUGGAUAGACAUAGCCAGUCAGCUAGCCAGGCAGCCAACCAGAUAGAGACAGAUAAGUAGAAAGAGAGCGAUAGAAAUCCAGGUAAACAAAUAGGCAGAUAAAAAGAUGAAUAGAAAGAUAGAUAGAUAGAUGGACAGAUAGACAGAUAAAUGGAAAGGUAGGUAGUUAGGUGGAUAGACAGACAGACACUUAGAUAAAUAGAAAGACAGAUAGAUGUAUAGAGAGACAGGUAGAUCAAUAAAUAGAAAUUAGAUAGAAGCAUAGACAGGUAGAUAGACAUACAAAUGGAUCAACAGAUAAAUAGAAAGGUAGAUAGAUAGAUGUAUAGACAGCCAGAUAGAGACAUACAGAUAGAUUGAAAGAUAGAUAGAUGGAUAGACAAAUAGACAGAUUGAUGGAUAGAUAGGCAUACAGUCAAAUAGACACAUAGAAAGAUAGAUGGAGAGAUAGAUAAAUAGAAAGAUAGAUGGAUACACAGACAGAGAGACAGAUAGAUACAUGGAACAAUGUCUAGAGAGAUGGAUAGACAGAUGGAAAGAGAAAUAGAAAGAUAGGUAAAUGGAUAUAAAGACAGAUCAAAAGAUAAAUAGAAACUUAGGCAGAUGGACAGACAGGAAGAUAUAGAGAUAAAUGGAAAGAGAGGUGGCUAGGUGUAUAGACAGAUAUAGAAAGACAAAAAGAUGGAUAGACAGAUAAUCCGACAAACAGGCAGAAACAUAUAUAGAUAAAUAGAAAAGUAGACACACACAGCUAGUCAAUCAGGCAGCCGAUGAGCCAGAAAGACAGAGAGACAGAUGAUUAGAAAGAUAGCAGAUAAAUAGAAUGAUAGAUGAAUAGAUAGAUAAGUAGAAAGAUAAAUGGAUAGACAGGGAGAAAAAGAUAGAUAAACAGAGAGAUGGCUAGAUGGAUGGAUAGAUACACAGAUAGAUUGAUGGAUAGACAGAAAGCUAAAUUGAAACAUACAGAGAUUGGUACACAUAUAGAUGGAUAUGCAGACAGAAAGAUAGAUAAAUGGAUAGAUAGGUAUUUAGAGAGAUAGAUAUAUAGACAGAUAAAUAGAAAGGCAGAUAGAUGGAUAGACUGAUAGAAGGACAAAUAAGCAGAAAGAUAGAUGAAUAGAAAGAUAGAUAGCCAAAUGGACAGACACACAGCAGUCAGGCAGCCAACCAGCUAGUCAAACAGAUAGAAACAGAUAACAAGAAAUAUAUAGAGAUAGAGCAAUAGAAAGCCAUAUAGACAAAUAGACAAUUAGAGAGAUGAAUGGAAAGAGAGACAGAUAGAUAAAUGGAAAGAUAGGUAGAUAGAUAGAGACAGGCAGAUAGACAGGUAGAUAGAGAGAUGGCUAGAAGACACUCAGAUAAAUAAAUACAAAAAUAGAUAGAUGGAUAGACAAAUAAACAGAAAUAUGGAUAGAUAGAUAGAUGGAUAGACACCCAGCCAGUCAGUCUGCCAGCCAGCUAGACAGACAGGAAGAUAAUUAGAAAGAAAGAUAGAUAUAUGAAUAGACAGACAUAGAGUCAGACAUACAUACAGAAAGUUAGAUAGACAGCACAUAUAUAGAAAUAUAGAUGUAUAAAUAGAUAUCCAGACAGAUAGAUAAUUAGAUAAGUAGAAAGAUAGAUAGAUGGAUAGUUAGAUAUACAGAAAGAUAGAUAAGUAGAAAGAAAAAUAGACAUAAAUAGAAAGCUCAAUAGAAUGAUAGAUAAACUGUUAGAUAGUUGAACAGACAGAUAAAUAGAAAUAUAGACAGGUAGAUAGAUAUAGAGAUAGAGCAAAAGAUAAAUAGAAAGGUAGAUAGAUGGAUAGACAGCCAGAUAGAAAGACAUACACAUAGAAAGAUAAAUAGAAUGUUAUAUAGAUAGAAGGAUAGACAGAUAGACAGUCAAAUAGACAGGAAAAGAGAUAGCCCAGUGGAUGGAUAUAUAAAUAGAGCGACAGACAGAUAGACAGAUGAAUAGAAAGAUUGCUAGAGAGAUGGAUAGAUGUACAGAUAAAUAGAAAGAUAGAUGGCUAGACAUCAAAAGAUAAAUAGAAACAGAUGGAUAGACAGGCAGAUAGAUAAAGUGAAAAAUAGAUGUACAGACAGAUAAAUAAAGAGAUAGAUGGAUAGACAAACAGACAAAGAGGCAGAAAGAUACAAAGUAAAUAGGUAGAUGGACACACAGCCAGUCACUUAGCCAGCUAGGCAACCAACAAGAUAGACAGACAGAUAGAUGAUUAGAAAGAUAAAUAGCAGAUAAAUAGAAAUAUAGAUGGAUGGACAUAGAUAGAUAUAGAUAGACAGAUAAAUAGAAGGCUAGAUGUAUAGACAGAUAGAUAAACAGAAAGCUGGCCAGAUAGAUGAAUAGAAACAGACACAUAUAUAGAUAGAUGGAUAGACAGGAAGAUAAAUAGAAACAUAGAUACAUAGACAAACAGAUCGAUAAAAUGGACAGAUUGGUAGAUAGGUGUAUAGACAGACAGAUAUAUAGACAGAUAAAUAGAAAGCUAGAGAUCUGGAUAUACAGACAGGUAAGCAGGCAGAAAGAUAGAUAAAUAGAAAGAUAGAUAGAUAAAUGGACAGACACACAGCCAGCCAGCCAUUCAGUCAGUCAACCAGCCAGGCAGCCAACCAGACAAAGAGACAUAUAGUAGAAAGAGAGAUAGAGUAAUAGAAAGCCAGAAAGACAAAUAGACAGAGAGAUGAUAGAUAGACAGAUAAAUGGGGAGGUAGGUAGAUAGGUGAAUAUACAGAGAGACAGACAGACAGACAGAAAGAUACAUACAUACAUAUAUACAUACAUAGAAAGACAGAUAAAUAGAAAGAGAUGACUAGAGAGAAAGACAGACAUUCAGAUAAAUAAAAAGAUAGAUGGAUAGAUAGAAAGAUAAAUAGAAAUAUGGAUAAAUAGAUGGAUAGACAGAAAUACAGAAAUAUAUAUAGAUGAACAGACAGAUAAAUAGAAAGAUAGAUGGAUAAAUAGAUAAGUAGAAAGAUAGAGGGAUAGACAGAAAAAGGCAGAUAGAUAAAUAGCAAUAGAUAGACAGAUAAAUAGAAAGCUAAUAGUUAGAUGAACAGAUAAAUAGAAAGAUAGAUAGAAUGAUAGAUGAAUAGACAACCAGACAGACAGAUAGCUACAUAGAACAUAUAUAGAGAUAUAGAUAGACAAAUAGAUAAUUAGAUAAAUAGAAAGAUAGAAUGAUAGAUAAGUUGAAAGAUAGAAUAGACAGAUGAACAAAUAGAAAGAUAGAAAGAUGUAGUUGGAUAGACAGACAUAUAAAUAGAAAUAUAGAUAGAAGCAUAAACAGACAGAUAGAUAGACAUACAGAUAGAUCGACAGAUAAAUAGAGAUAGAUAGAUAGAUAGAUUGACAGCCAGAUAGAGACAUACAGAUAAAUAGAAAGAUAGAUAGUUAGAUGGAUAGACGGAAAGACAAAUAAGAAGAUAGAUGGAUAGAUAGUCAAAUAGACAGAGAUAGAUACAUAAAUAGCUAGACAGAUAAAUAGACAGAUGGAUACACAGAGAGACAGAUAAAUAGAAAGAUAGAGAGAUGGAUAGACAGACAGAAAA
Molecule: long non-coding RNA, 6795 nt
Organism: Antechinus flavipes (yellow-footed antechinus)
Lineage: Eukaryota; Metazoa; Chordata; Mammalia; Dasyuromorphia; Dasyuridae
Exons: 2
Source: RefSeq, a predicted model, not a curated record